Molecule: ribosomal RNA, 467 nt
Filed under: uncultured bacterium
Lineage: Bacteria
Description: partial 16S ribosomal RNA
Rfam family: Bacterial small subunit ribosomal RNA
Source: RNAcentral
GACGAACGCUGGCGGCGUGCUUAACACAUGCAAGUCGAACGGAAAGGCCCUGCUUUUGUGGGGUGCUCGAGUGGCGAACGGGUGAGUGACACGUGAGUAACCUGCCCUUGACUUUGGGAUAACUUCAGGAAACUGGGGCUAAUACCGGAUAGGAGCUCCUGCUGCAUGGUGGGGGUUGGAAAGUUUCGGCGGUUGGGGAUGGACUCGCGGCUUAUCAGCUUGUUGGUGGGGUAGUGGCUUACCAAGGCUUUGACGGGUAGCCGGCCUGAGAGGGUGACCGGCCACAUUGGGACUGAGAUACGGCCCAGACUCCUACGGGAGGCAGCAGUGGGGAAUAUUGCACAAUGGGCGGAAGCCUGAUGCAGCAACGCCGCGUGCGGGAUGACGGCCUUCGGGUUGUAAACCGCUUUCGCCUGUGACGAAGCGUGAGUGACGGUAAUGGGUAAAGAAGCACCGGCUAACUACGU